CACGGGCACUACUAAAGACGUGACACACCCGAUCCCAUUCCGACCUCGAUCUGUGAAACCGUCUUUUCAGCGCCAUAUGUACUGAUUCUUCGGGAGACAUGGUCAAAGCCCUAC
RNAcentral lists this ribosomal RNA (114 nucleotides) under Hesperocyparis glabra. Lineage: Eukaryota; Viridiplantae; Streptophyta; Pinopsida; Cupressales; Cupressaceae. The record is from RNAcentral.